AUACGUAGGGGGCGAGCGUUGUCCGGAAUGAUUGGGCGUAAAGGGCGCGUAGGCGGCCCGGUAAGUCUGGAGUGAAAGUCCUGUUUUUAAGAUGGGAAUUGCUUUGGAUACUGUCGGGCUUGAGUGCAGGAGAGGUAAGUGGAAUUCCCAGUGUAGCGGUGACAUGCGUAGAGAUUGGGAGGAACACCAGUGGCGAAGGCGACUUACUGGACUGUAACUGACGCUGAGGCGCGAAAGUGUGGGGAGCAAACAGGAUUAGAUACCCUGGUAGUCCACACUGUAAACGAUGAAUGCUAGGUGUAGGGGGUAUCGACCCCUUCUGUGCCGCAGUCAACACAAUAAGCAUUCCGCCUGGGGAGUACGGCCGCAAGGUUGAAACUCAAAGGAAUUGACGGGG
Molecule: ribosomal RNA, 397 nt
Filed under: uncultured bacterium
Lineage: Bacteria
Description: partial 16S ribosomal RNA
Rfam family: Bacterial small subunit ribosomal RNA
Source: RNAcentral